UACGAAGGGGGCUAGCGUUACUCGGAUUGACUGGGCGUAAAGGGCGCGUAGGCGGUUCGUACAGUCAGACGUGAAAUUCCUGGGCUCAACCUGGGGGCUGCGUUUGAUACGUGCGGGCUUGAGUUCGGAAGAGGGUCGUGGAACUGCGAGUGUAGAGGUGAAAUUCGUAGAUAUUCGCAAGAACACCAGUGGCGAAGGCGGCUCACUGGCCCGAUACUGACGCUGAGGCACGAAAGCGUGGGGAGCAAACAGG
Molecule: ribosomal RNA, 253 nt
Filed under: uncultured bacterium
Lineage: Bacteria
Description: partial 16S ribosomal RNA
Rfam family: Bacterial small subunit ribosomal RNA
Source: RNAcentral